This 465-nucleotide ribosomal RNA is filed under the name uncultured bacterium. RNAcentral describes it as "partial 16S ribosomal RNA". It matches the Rfam family "Bacterial small subunit ribosomal RNA", at positions 339 to 795 of the family's 1533-position model. The record is from RNAcentral.
CUACGGGCUGCUCCAGUGGGGAAUAUUGCACAAUGGGCGCAAGCCUGAUGCAGCCAUGCCGCGUGUAUGAAGAAGGCCUUCGGGUUGUAAAGUACUUUCAGCGGGGAGGAAGGGAGUAAAGUUAAUACCUUUGCUCAUUGACGUUACCCGCAGAAGAAGCACCGGCUAAGUCCGUGGCCAGCAGCCGCGGUAAUACGGAGGGUGCAAGCGUUAAUCGGAAUUACUGGGCGUAAAGCGCACGCAGGCGGUUUGUUAAGUCAGAUGUGAAAUCCCCGGGCUCAACCUGGGAACUGCAUCUGAUACUGGCAAGCUUGAGUCUCGUAGAGGGGGGUAGAAUUCCAGGUGUAGCGGUGAAAUGCGUAGAGAUCUGGAGGAAUACCGGUGGCGAAGGCGGCCCCCUGGACGAAGACUGACGCUCAGGUGCGAAAGCGUGGGGAGCAAACAGGAUUAGAUACCCUCGUAGUC